CUACGGGAUGCACCAGUGGGGAAUAUUGCACAAUGGGCGCAAGCCUGAUGCAGCCAUGCCGCGUGUAUGAAGAAGGCCUUCGGGUUGUAAAGUACUUUCAGCGGGGAGGAAGGGAGUAAAGUUAAUACCUUUGCUCAUUGACGUUACCCGCAGAAGAAGCACCGGCUAACUCCGUGCCAGCAGCCGCGGUAAUACGGAGGGUGCAAGCGUUAAUCGGAAUUACUGGGCGUAACGCGCACGCAGGCGGUUUGUUAAGUCAGAUGUGAAAUCCCCGGGCUCAACCUGGGAACUGCAUCUGAUACUGGCAAGCUUGAGUCUCGUAGAGGGGGGUAGAAUUCCAGGUGUAGCGGUGAAAUGCGUAGAGAUCUGGAGGAAUACCGGUGGCGAAGGCGGCCCCCUGGACGAAGACUGACGCUCAGGUGCGAAAGCGUGGGGAGCAAACAGGAUUAGAUACCCCCGUAGUC
Molecule: ribosomal RNA, 464 nt
Filed under: uncultured bacterium
Lineage: Bacteria
Description: partial 16S ribosomal RNA
Rfam family: Bacterial small subunit ribosomal RNA
Source: RNAcentral